Molecule: ribosomal RNA, 372 nt
Filed under: uncultured organism
Description: bacterial SSU rRNA
Rfam family: Bacterial small subunit ribosomal RNA
Source: RNAcentral
CGUAGGGUGCGAGCGUUAAUCGGAAUUACUGGGCGUAAAGCGUGCGCAGGCGGUUUUGUAAGACAGGCGUGAAAUCCCCGGGCUCAACCUGGGAACUGCGCUUGUGACUGCAAGGCUAGAGUACGGCAGAGGGGGUGGAAUUCCACGUGUAGCAGUGAAAUGCGUAGAGAUGUGGAGGAACACCAAUGGCGAAGGCAGCCCCCUGGGUCGAUACUGACGCUCAUGCACGAAAGCGUGGGUAGCAAACAGGAUUAGAUACCCUGGUACGUCCACGCCCUAAACGAUGUCAACUAGGUGUUGGGUGGGUAAAACCAUUUAGUACCGGAGCUAACGCGUGAAGUUGACCGCCUGGGGAGUACGGCCGCAAGGUUA